UACGGAGGGGGCUAGCGUUGUCCGGAAUUACUGGGCGUAAAGGGCCAGUAGGCGGCCAACUAAGUCCGACGUGAAAUCCCAAAGCUUAACUUUGGACCUGCGUCGGAUACUGGAUGGCUUGAAUUCGGGAGAGGGAUGCAGAAUUCCAGGUGUAGCGGUGAAAUGCGUAGAUAUCUGGAGGAAUACCGGUGGCGAAGGCGGCAUCCUGGACCGACAUUGACGCUGAACGGCGAAAGCUAGGGGAGCAAACGGG
This 253-nucleotide ribosomal RNA is filed under the name uncultured bacterium. Its description in RNAcentral is "partial 16S ribosomal RNA". It matches the Rfam family "Bacterial small subunit ribosomal RNA", at positions 524 to 776 of the family's 1533-position model. The record is from RNAcentral.